This 468-nucleotide ribosomal RNA is filed under the name uncultured bacterium. Its description in RNAcentral is "partial 16S ribosomal RNA". It matches the Rfam family "Bacterial small subunit ribosomal RNA", at positions 28 to 507 of the family's 1533-position model. The record is from RNAcentral.
GACGAACGCUGGCGGCGUGCUUAACACAUGCAAGUCGAACGGAAAGGCCCUGCUUUUGUGUGGUUCUCGAGUGGCGAACGGGUGAGUAACACGUGAAUAUCCUUCCCUUUACUUUGUGAUAACUUCAGGAAACUGGGGCUAAUACCUGCUAGCAGCUCCUGCUACAUGGUGGGGUUUGGAACUUUUCGUCGGUUGGGGAUGUACUCGCGGCUUAUCAGCUUGUUGGUUGGGUAGUUGCUUACCAAGGCUUUGACGGGUAGCCGGCAUGGGAGGGUGACCGGCCACAUUGGGACUGAGAUACGGACCAGACUCCAAUGGGAGGCAGAAGUGGGGAAUAUUGCACAAUGGGGGGAAGCGUGAUGAAGAAACGUUGCGAGCGGGAUGCAGGCUUUGGGGUUGUAAACGGCAGUAGGCUAUGACGAAGCGUGAGUGACGGUAAUGGGUAAAGAAGCACCGGCUAACUACGUG